RNAcentral lists this ribosomal RNA (91 nucleotides) under Rhodococcus (subgen. Prescottella) agglutinans. The record is from RNAcentral. RNAcentral also lists the same sequence under 5 other names. Lineage: Bacteria; Bacillati; Actinomycetota; Actinomycetes; Mycobacteriales; Nocardiaceae.
GCCCGGUCCCAUUCCGAACCCGGAAGCUAAGCCCUCCAGCGCCGAUGGUACUGCACUCGACAGGGUGUGGGAGAGUAGGACACCGCCGAAC